AUGGAGGGCCUCUCAUCCGCACAGUUCCUGAAGACACUUGCGCUCAUGGAUUGCAUGUCUGUAACUGAUGCUGGUAUUAGUCACAUUAUUCAAGCUCCUUGCAUGAGUAGUCUCAUCCUCCGCAGAUGUGAGAACGUGACAGAUCGUGGAAUGGCUGAGCUGGCACGUUCACAGAAGUUGGAGUCCCUGACCGUUAUAGGCUGCCAGCAGAUGUCUCAGGAAGGUGUGCAUGGUGCUGCCAAAUCAGUUCGCUACUCGGCAGAGAUUGAAAGCUACGACAGUCUAAAAGGAAUGAACAGGAACAGGAACAGGAAAAGACGUCGAUCGCCCUGA
Molecule: ribosomal RNA, 333 nt
Filed under: Triticum aestivum (bread wheat)
Lineage: Eukaryota; Viridiplantae; Streptophyta; Magnoliopsida; Poales; Poaceae
Description: partial small subunit ribosomal RNA
Source: RNAcentral